AACCCUUCUUUGAAUGUUUUAUUUCUACAAUUUUCUGAUCGACAGCAAGGAUUGGGCAUUUUUAAGGGUGAAAGAAUAGACUUGUAGGUUCGCCCUGCAUGAAAUGAGUUACUAUUGUAAUUUGAAAGCUCAGACUAUUCGAGUAGCUAAACCAUUCGUUCAUAUCUAUAUCGAAAAAACUGUGUGUUUUUCUCUUUAUUAUGAAGUGUCGAUGGUUUAUUUGCAGCAAUGCAAACCGCCAGCAAUCGAACCGCAUCAGAAAAGUAAUUCAAAUUUACAUUAUUUGUUAAUAAACAACUUUAACCCCUUUUGAUAAAUUGAACUAAAUUAAUUUUCAUACUCUGAUAAAAAGGAGAUGAAAUUCAUUACGAAACAAAGAACAACUCUUAGCAACGGAUAUCUUGGUUCUCGUAACGAUGAAGAACGCAGCGAAAUGCGAUACGUAAUGCGAAUUGCAGAAUUCAGUGAAUCAUCAAAUCUUUGAACGCAAAUUGCGCUUUCUGGAUAGGCCAGGGAGCAUGCCUCUUUGAGCAUCGUUUCUACCAAAACUCGUUAGCUUUGCCAGUAGAAUGGCGGAGCGAGCGGAGAUUGCGCUUCUCGCUGGAAACAGUGAGUGGCGUUAAGAAGCGUGAGUUCAUUUCACACUGUUCUAGUGUUCGACCUUUUUUGGUUUCAUUAUCAAAAAAGGGCGCCUUUCUAAACCAAAGGUUUAUACUAGUUAUGUAGAUAAAAUUUUUUUAACCACAUAACACGAGUAGAUUCAGUUGA
Molecule: ribosomal RNA, 768 nt
Filed under: uncultured fungus
Lineage: Eukaryota; Fungi
Description: eukaryotic LSU rRNA
Rfam family: 5.8S ribosomal RNA (bases 382-536)
Source: RNAcentral